Molecule: non-coding RNA, 148 nt
Organism: Xenorhabdus vietnamensis
Lineage: Bacteria; Pseudomonadati; Pseudomonadota; Gammaproteobacteria; Enterobacterales; Morganellaceae
Source: Rfam
AUAAAGGUUAGCUCACAUGAUUCACUCUAUUCUUCUACUAAGCCUACUACUCGUUGCCUUUAAUGUGCGCGGUAUGCUGGUGGAUGAAAAACAGAGUUAAGUUAACCUUCAUCAGAAACAAAAACCCGCGCACGGCGCGGGUUUUUUU